GAGGGUAUAGCUCAGUGGUAGAGCACGUGCUUAGCAUGCACGAGGUCCUGGAUUCAAUCCCCAGGACCCCCA
RNAcentral lists this transfer RNA (72 nucleotides) under Camelus bactrianus (Bactrian camel). It matches the Rfam family "tRNA". From Rfam's summary of the family: Transfer RNA (tRNA) molecules are approximately 80 nucleotides in length. Their secondary structure includes four short double-helical elements and three loops (D, anti-codon, and T loops). RNAcentral also lists the same sequence under 2 other names. Lineage: Eukaryota; Metazoa; Chordata; Mammalia; Artiodactyla; Camelidae. The record is from Rfam by way of RNAcentral.